RNAcentral lists this unclassified non-coding RNA (352 nucleotides) under soil metagenome. RNAcentral's name for it is "partial contains 5.8S ribosomal RNA, internal transcribed spacer 2, and large subunit ribosomal RNA". The stretch from base 1 to 120 matches the Rfam family "5.8S ribosomal RNA", at positions 35 to 154 of the family's 154-position model. The record is from RNAcentral.
GAUGAAGAACGUAGCGAAAUGCGAAAAGUAAUGUGAAUUGCAGAAUUCAGUGAAUCAUCGAAUCUUUGAACGCACAUUGCGCCCGCUGGUACUCCGGCGGGCACGCCUGUCCGAGCGUCAUUUCAACCCUCAAGCCCUCCUUCGGGAUGGGCCUGGUGUUGGGGCUCGGCCGCCAUCUCCGGCGGCCGUCCCCUAAAUACAGUGGCGGUCACGUCGCGACUCCUUUGCGUAGUAGAAACACCUCGCUCCGGAUAGCAACGCGGUCCACGCCGUAAAACCCCCAAUUUUCAAUGGUUGACCUCGGAUCAGGUGGGAAUACCCGCUGAACUUAAGCAUAUCAAUAAGCGGAGGA